AACUUUGUGCAGUGGCAGUAUCGUAGCCAAUGAAGUUUAUCCAAGUUGUGAUUAUUGCUAAUUGAAAACUUUUCAAAGCACUCUAGUUUUUGUUGUAGAGGUCUUUCA
Fukomys damarensis (Damara mole-rat) is the source of this 108-nucleotide small nuclear RNA. Its record names the gene U4. It matches the Rfam family "U4 spliceosomal RNA". From Rfam's summary of the family: U4 small nuclear RNA (U4 snRNA) is a component of the major U2-dependent spliceosome. The structure of U4 snRNA from yeast and human has been reported. U4 snRNA presents a k-turn RNA motif in the 5p-SL related to recognition of Snu13 protein. The record is from Ensembl. Lineage: Eukaryota; Metazoa; Chordata; Mammalia; Rodentia; Bathyergidae.